AGAGUUUGAUCAUGGCUCAGGAUGAACGCUGGCGGCGUGCUUAACACAUGCAAGUCGAACGGAGUGCCCGUGAAAGAGUUUUCGGACAAUGGAUCGGGUUACUUAGUGGCGGACGGGUGAGUAACGCGUGAGGAACCUGCCUUGGAGUGGGGAAUAACACAGUGAAAAUUGUGCUAAUACCGCAUGAUGCAGUUGAGUCGCAUGGCUCUGACUGCCAAAGAUUUAUCGCUCUAAGAUGGCCUCGCGUCUGAUUAGCUAGUUGGUGGGGUAACGGCCCACCAAGGCGACGAUCAGUAGCCGGACUGAGAGGUUGGCCGGCCACAUUGGGACUGAGACACGGCCCAGACUCCUACGGGAGGCAGCAGUGGGGAAUAUUGGGCAAUGGGCGCAAGCCUGACCCAGCAACGCCGCGUGAAGGAAGAAGGCUUUCGGGUUGUAAACCUCUUUUGUCGGGGAGCAAUGCCGCCUUUGCGAAGGCGGAGGGAGAGUACCCGAAGAAAAAGCAUCGGCUAACUCCGUGCCAGCAGCCGCGGUAAUACGGAGGAUGCGAGCGUUAUCCGGAUUUAUUGGGUUUAAAGGGUGCGUAGGCGGAAUAUUAAGCCUGAGGUAAAAAUUCGGGGCCCAACCCCGUCCCGCCUUGGGAACUGGUAUUCUAGAGUGGUUGAGAAGUAUGCGGAAUGCGUGGUGUAGCGGUGAAAUGCAUAGAUAUCACGCAGAACGCCGAUUGCGAAGGCAGCAUACCGGCAGCCCACUGACGCUGAGGCACGAAAGCGUGGGGAUCAAACAGGAUUAGAUACCCUGGUAGUCCACGCAGUAAACGAUGGAUGUUAGCUGUUCGGAGCGAAUGAGUUCUGAGUGGCACAGCGAAAGCGUUAAACAUCCCACCUGGGGAGUACGCCGGCAACGGUGAAACUCAAAGGAAUUGACGGGGGCCCGCACAAGCGGAGGAACAUGUGGUUUAAUUCGAUGAUACGCGAGGAACCUUACCCGGGCUCAAACGGCACAGUGAUACUUUUGAAAGGAGGUAGCUCUACGGAGACUGUGCCGAGGUGCUGCAUGGUUGUCGUCAGCUCGUGCCGUGAGGUGUCGGCUUAAGUGCCAUAACGAGCGCAACCCCUAUUGUCAGUUGCCAGCAGGUAAAGCUGGGGACUCUGACGAGACUGCCGGCGCAAGCUGAGAGGAAGGCGGGGAUGACGUCAAAUCAGCACGGCCCUUACGUCCGGGGCGACACACGUGUUACAAUGGCAGGCACAGCGGGAAGCCACCCGGCGACGGGGAGCGGAACCCGAAAGCCUGUCUCAGUUCGGAUCGGAGUCUGCAACUCGACUCCGUGAAGCUGGAUUCGCUAGUAAUCGCGCAUCAGCCAUGGCGCGGUGAAUACGUUCCCGGGCCUUGCACUCACCGCCCGU
RNAcentral lists this ribosomal RNA (1409 nucleotides) under uncultured bacterium. RNAcentral's name for it is "bacterial SSU rRNA". It matches the Rfam family "Bacterial small subunit ribosomal RNA". The record is from RNAcentral.